UCUUUGGUAGUAUAGUGGUUAGUAUAUCCGCCUGUCAGUUAACCCUGAACUGAACGCGGAUGACCGGGGUUCAAUUCCCCGCCAAAGAG
RNAcentral lists this transfer RNA (89 nucleotides) under Choiromyces venosus 120613-1. It matches the Rfam family "tRNA". From Rfam's summary of the family: Transfer RNA (tRNA) molecules are approximately 80 nucleotides in length. Their secondary structure includes four short double-helical elements and three loops (D, anti-codon, and T loops). Further hydrogen bonds mediate the characteristic L-shaped molecular structure. tRNAs have two regions of fundamental functional importance: the anti-codon, which is responsible for specific mRNA codon recognition, and the 3' end, to which the tRNAs corresponding amino acid is attached (by aminoacyl-tRNA synthetases). tRNAs cope with the degeneracy of the genetic code in two manners: having more than one tRNA (with a specific anti-codon) for a particular amino acid; and 'wobble' base-pairing, i.e. permitting non-standard base-pairing at the 3rd anti-codon position. Lineage: Eukaryota; Fungi; Ascomycota; Pezizomycetes; Pezizales; Tuberaceae. The record is from Rfam by way of RNAcentral.